Molecule: long non-coding RNA, 887 nt
Filed under: Phoenix dactylifera (date palm)
Lineage: Eukaryota; Viridiplantae; Streptophyta; Magnoliopsida; Arecales; Arecaceae
Description: long non-coding RNA (PDAC_LNC005576)
Source: RNAcentral
AUCGAUUCUCUGAUGAUCCUCUUCCUUUUUCCUUUCUUGCGCCAGCCGACCAUUGUCGCCGGCGAUGCCUUGGCAAAUAUAUCGCCUUGGGCCGCCGUCACAGGAGUCGACCGCUUGGUGGCCUCCACCCCCUUAAUCCAAGAAGAAAAGAGGAGAGAUGAAAGACUCUCUCUUCUUCCUUUCUCCUCUCUCCUCUCUCUACUUUCUCUCUCUAGAAGAUCAAAGGAACCCGAUGUCAGGUUCUGUCGAUCUGAUCUACAAACUUGAGUUGAUCUCCGAAAAGAGGCCCUAAACUGACCUGUGCACAAGUCGCCUACUGGAUCGAUCACCCAGCCUUGUCAAGUGUCUAUAGAACCCACUAAUGAUGAGUUAUGUUAAACGACUUUGGCUCUAAUUGACUCCAUGCCCUAUGAUUUAUUGAUCGAAUCGCUCAGACCUGACCUACUCAGAAUCAUCAAAUGCUAUCAUCCGACUAACCAUCCAUAUUUCUUAUUAUUCGAUUAAAAACAUCAAACAGAAAUUAAUUUCACUUUUAAUGUUUUUAAUAGGGUUAACUAAAUUGUCGAGUAAAGUUUGAUAGUCUAAGAUGAAAUAGGUAAGUAAAUGUUUCACUCAUUAUUUUUCAAAUGAUCAUAUUUUUCGUACAUAAAAUUUGCUUGUGGAAAUAUUAUACUUUUCUUAAUUUUAUGAAUCAGCAUAUGUGUUAUAAAAAUUAUGCUUUAAUAUAAAAAUAUUUUGAUGAAUAUAGCUUUGUUAUAAAAUAUGAAUCCAAUCAUAUCAUUUAGUGUAAGAGCCACAUUUUUGAGCCAGCCCGGCCCGCUAACCACAGCACCGGCCCGACUCAUGUGAAGGGGAGGGAGACUCCCGAACGGGGUCUUCUCCCUCCC